UUGAACGCUGGCGGCAGGCCUAACCCAUGCAAGUCGAGCGGAUGAAGGGAGCUUGCUCCUGGCUUCAGCGGCGGACGGGUGAGUAAUGCCUAGGAAUCUGCCUGGUAGUGGGGGAUAACGUCCGGAAACGGGCGCUAAUACCGCAUACGUCCUGAGGGAGAAAGUGGGGGAUCUUCGGACCUCACGCUAUCAGCUGAGCCUAGGUCGGAUUAGCUAGUUGGUGGGGUAAAGGCCUACCAAGGCGACGAUCCGUAACUGGUCUGAGAGGAUGAUCAGUCACACUGGAACUGAGACACGGUCCAGACUCCUACGGGAGGCAGCAGUGGGGAAUAUUGGACAAUGGGCGAAAGCCUGAUCCAGCCAUGCCGCGUGUGUGAAGAAGGUCUUCGGAUUGUAAAGCACUUUAAGUUGGGAGGAAGGGCAGUAAGUUAAUACCUUGCUGCUUUGACGUUACCAACAGAAUAAGCACCGGCUAACUUCGUG
This 483-nucleotide ribosomal RNA is filed under the name uncultured bacterium. Its description in RNAcentral is "partial 16S ribosomal RNA". It matches the Rfam family "Bacterial small subunit ribosomal RNA", at positions 30 to 507 of the family's 1533-position model. The record is from RNAcentral.